CUCGCCCUUCCGCCGCGGGGUCACGUGACGCCCCCUCGGCCCCACAAGAUGGCGGCGCCCAUGUUGCUGCCCGAGCCCCCCCUGGGGAAGCCGAGCCAUCAAAAGUACAGAGCUAUUCUGAAGAAAGAGAAGAGGAAAAAAAAGCGGCAGGCGCUUGCCAAACUAAGGGACUCAGAAGCUACAGAAAAAGAUGAAUCUGUGUCUGAGGAAGAAGAGGAGGAAGUGGAGAAAGAGGAGGAAGAAGAAGAAGAAAAAAAACUUGAGGCAGAAAGACAAAAACUACAUGAGCAGUGGUUGCUGAGAGAAGAAAAGGCCCAAGAAGAGUUCAAGCUAAAGAAAGAAAAAGAAGAGGCUGCAAGAAAACGGCAAGAAGAAGAAGAGAGGAAGAUCAAAGAAGAAUGGGAAGAGCAGCAAAGAAAAGAGAGAGAAGUGGCACAGCAGAAGCAACAGGAGAAGAAAGAGAGAGAGGUGAUUCCUGGUGGUGGGAGGAUAAACAUGUUACAUAUCCUGUUACAUGAUGAGAUGCAGCAGUUAUACAUGUUGAAGAAGGAUUUUGUUACAAUUAGCAAUGUGUUAGUUACUCCAUUCUGUUUGAUUUCCUAAAACUAUUAAUCACUGUUAAAGAGCAUCUAAUGGAUCCAUAUAAAGGGUAACUUGUUUUAACACAUCUGGUUGUUCAUAGUAUGUUGUUGCUUACAUCAGUUAAAUACGAAGGCAUACUGCCAGUGCAGUUCUGAUAUGUGCACUUUCUGCAUCACCUGUUAAAGAUGGUCCUUCCUUAAUGUCUCAGUUGAACACAGUCAGUGCUGAAGAAAAUGCCCAAAGAGAAUAUGGAUUAUGGAAGUACAUUGCUGCUGUUCUUUAUCAAAAGAUGUGUUACAGCUCUUCUUUACCUGACUCAUCCAACAGGACAUGUUUUGCGUGUCCUCAGGGUUUUCACUAGUCCUGUGUUUGCACCAUUUAUAGGCAGCUGUGCAGAGGAUGCUGGAUCAAGCUGAAAGCCAGCUGGAGAAUGGUGUGAGUUGGCAUAACCCAGAGCCCCCAGAGAAUCUGGGAACAGAGAAGGAUAGAGCGAAUUGCCCCUUCUAUAU
Empidonax traillii (willow flycatcher) is the source of this 1091-nucleotide RNA transcript. It is a transcript of the gene named U2 small nuclear ribonucleoprotein auxiliary factor 35 kDa subunit-related protein 2-like, with no coding region annotated. The transcript has 7 exons. The record is from RefSeq and is a predicted model, not a curated record. NCBI's taxonomy places the organism in Eukaryota, Metazoa, Chordata, Aves, Passeriformes, Tyrannidae.